This 520-nucleotide ribosomal RNA is filed under the name uncultured Glomus. Its description in RNAcentral is "SSU rRNA". It matches the Rfam family "Eukaryotic small subunit ribosomal RNA", at positions 569 to 1093 of the family's 1831-position model. The record is from RNAcentral. Lineage: Eukaryota; Fungi; Glomeromycota; Glomeromycetes; Glomerales; Glomeraceae.
CGCAGCCGCGGUAAUUCCAGCUCCAAUAGCGUAUAUUAAAGUUGUUGCAGUUAAAAAGCUCGUAGUUGAAUUUCGGGGUUAGUAGAUUGGUCAUGCCUCUGGUAUGCACUGGUCUUACUGAUUCCUCCUUCCUGAUGAACCGUAAUGCCAUUAAUUUGGUGUUGCGGGGAAACUGGACUGUUACUUUGAAAAAAUUAGGGUGUUUAAAGCAGGCUAACGCUUGAAUACAUUAGCAUGGAAUAAUGAAAUAGGACGUUCGAUCUUAUUUUGUUGGUUUCUAGGAUUGACGUAAUGAUUAAUAGGGAUAGUUGGGGGCAUUAGUAUUCAAUUGUCAGAGGUGAAAUUCUUGGAUUUAUUGAAGACUAACUACUGCGAAAGCAUUUGCCAAGGAUGUUUUCAUUAAUCAAGAACGAAGUUAGGGAUCGAAGACGAUCAGAUACCGUCGUAGUCUCAACCAUAAACCUNUGCCGACUAGGGAUCGGAUGAUGUUAAUUUUUANGACUCAUUCGGCGCCUUACGG